CAGGCAUUCAUAUCAACUUCUACCUGCUGUGUUACAUUGGCAGCCUAUUUGUUUCCAACCCCAGUGUAAAGUGCUGAUAUUGAUCUUAGUUUAACCUUAAAUAAUUUGGGAUCAUGAUAUCUGAAAAGCCACCUUCUCCCAAAUGAUUUUGGCAGAGCAUUAAGAUCAGCAUCAAGGGGCCUGUUUUCUGGUCUAGUAGCAAGAGCUACUACGAUGUUUCAUCAGCAGAGUUGAAAUCCGGCGCAGAUCAUUCCAGUACAAUUCUCGAUCUACACCAUUAUUUUUACAGGUGCUUUCAGCACUCAAAACCAGUCAGGUAUUUGCUGUUGGUCUUUCUCCUUUUCUACUUGGGCUGUAUCAAGAGUAAAUAAAAUAGCAUGGGUUCUCCCUCUUC
Long non-coding RNA from Pantherophis guttatus, 394 nucleotides. RefSeq lists it as uncharacterized. Lineage: Eukaryota; Metazoa; Chordata; Lepidosauria; Squamata; Colubridae. The record is from RefSeq and is a predicted model, not a curated record.